This 565-nucleotide ribosomal RNA is filed under the name Helicana japonica. Its description in RNAcentral is "partial 12S ribosomal RNA". Lineage: Eukaryota; Metazoa; Arthropoda; Malacostraca; Decapoda; Varunidae. The record is from RNAcentral.
UACUUUAAGACUAAGUAAAAAUUUUUAGGUUGUAGUUAAGUGAGUGAUUUAAAAAUUAUAUGGGCAAUAAAGGGUAAAAUCGGAAUAUUGUUUUGUAUAAAAAAAAAUCUUAAUUGAAGCUAGAAAAUUUUAGUGAUAAACUAGGAUUAGAUACCCUAUUAUUCUAAAAUGAAUUAUUAAAACUUAAUUAGUAAGAGAUAAAUACUUAAAAUUUAAAAAAUUUGGCGGCAAUUUAAUCUUUUCAGAGGAACCUGUUUUAUAAUCGAUAAACCACGAAGAAUCUUACUUGCCUUUGUAAAACAGUUUGUAUACCAUCAUUAUCAGAUAAUUCUUAGAGGAGAAAUUAUUAAACUUGAUUUAUCAGGAAAAUUAGAUCAUGGUGCAGUUAAUAGGCAAGUUAAAAUGGGUUACAAUAAAUUAUUUUAUGACGGAUUAAGCAGAAUAAUUCUGCUAUGAAGGAGGAUUUGAUUGUACUUUUAGUUUAAUAAGCUAAAAGGAUAUAAGUUCUAAAUUGUGUACAUAUCGCCCGUCGCUUUCAUUUAUAAGUGAAAUAAGUCGUAACAUA